UACAGAGGGGGCAAGCGUUGUUCGGAAUUACUGGGCGUAAAGGGCGCGUAGGCGGCCUUCUAAGUCGGACGUGAAAUCCCCGGGCUCAACCCGGGAACUGCGUCCGAGACUGGAAGGCUCGAAUCCGGGAGAGGGAUGUGGAAUUCCAGGUGUAGCGGUGAAAUGCGUAGAUAUCUGGAGGAACACCGGUGGCGAAGGCGGCAUCCUGGACCGGUAUUGACGCUGAGGCGCGAAAGCGUGGGGAGCAAACAGG
RNAcentral lists this ribosomal RNA (253 nucleotides) under uncultured bacterium. RNAcentral's name for it is "partial 16S ribosomal RNA". It matches the Rfam family "Bacterial small subunit ribosomal RNA", at positions 524 to 776 of the family's 1533-position model. The record is from RNAcentral.